RNAcentral lists this non-coding RNA (240 nucleotides) under Palpitomonas bilix. The record is from RNAcentral.
CGCACACACGGAAGAGUCCGACACGACACGACACGACACGGGACCGAGACUUACGUUUUCCCCUUUCCUUCUUUUUCCCCCUUUCUUUGCUUCGCAGCAUCCAAUCAAAAACGCGCCAUUCGACAUCAGCUCUUGAGACAUUGUUUGGCGAAACAAGAAGAUGGCAUAUCCCUUUUUGUCACGUCGGUGUCUUUGCAUCUCGUUGCUGCGUGGAGGGAGAGAACGUGCAAAAAAAUGUCC